RNAcentral lists this ribosomal RNA (516 nucleotides) under uncultured Micromonas. RNAcentral's name for it is "bacterial SSU rRNA". It matches the Rfam family "Bacterial small subunit ribosomal RNA", at positions 74 to 624 of the family's 1533-position model. The record is from RNAcentral. Lineage: Eukaryota; Viridiplantae; Chlorophyta; Mamiellophyceae; Mamiellales.
GAGUCUUCGGACUGCGGAAGAGUGGCGAACGGGUGAGGAACACGUAAGAAUCUGCCCCUCGGUCGGGGACAACUCUUGGAAACGAGAGCUAAUACCCGAUACGCUGUGGAGUGAAAGAAUUUCGCCGAGGGAUGAUCUUGCGUCUGAUUAGCUAGUUGGUGUGGUAACUGCACACCAAGGCGACGAUCAGUAGCUGGUCUGAGAGGAUGGACAGCCACAUUGGAACUGAGACACGGUCCAAACUCCUACGGGAGGCAGCAGUGGGGAAUUUUCCGCAAUGGACGAAAGUCUGACGGAGCGACGCUGCGUGAAGGAUGACGGCCCGCGGGUUGUAAACUUCUUUUCUCGAAGAAGAAACAAAUGACGGUAUUCGAGGAAUAAGCAUCGGCUAACUCCGUGCCAGCAGCCGCGGUAAGACGGAGGAUGCAAGUGUUAUUCGGAAUGAUUGGGCGUAAAGAGUCUGUAGGCUGUAUAGAAAGUCUUUUGUUAAAUUCCUCGGCUCAACCGAGAUCAAGC